CACUUAAUGAGGAUAUCUACAUGCAAUAUGCAAAAUUACAUUAAAUAUUACAUAAAUAUUUCUAUUAGGAAACUCCAAGGGAGGAGCAAGGCUAACAAAGUUAAUGACUUGAUGUCAGAAGUCAGCAAUGGAAGAUCUGAGGCAGGAAGGAAGCACAGCAGCCUCCCGCUCCUAUGCAGGAUAACUAGGAAGGCGCUGCUUUAGCAAGAGCAUCAUUCCGACCACACUUUUGUCAGGCUCUGAAUAGAAGGUCACCAUCUCCCUCAUUUUUCCCUUCCAAUCAAUAUUUAGUCUGCUCAGCAGCUGCUAGAGCUGGCUGCCUCUGAACUUCAUUGCUGUAAGUUACUGAGAAACUGGCUUAUUAUGACAACGCAGAUCUCCCAGCAGAUCUGACCUGCAGCGGCUGCCCUGUCUCUUUCAAUCUACUCCAAAAUACAGAGAUGGCUCCAGUGCACAGAAUUUACUGUACAAAUCUGCGGAGAAAGGCUUGAUCAAUAGGAAAAGUAACAGGCUACGAGGGGAUUUGGGGCCAAAUAUGUUACAUAAUACAAAAAUUGGUCUAAUAAUGUUCAGGUAACUAAUUAAAAAAUGACCCUGUGUGAACUCAUUGGUUAAAAACAUGAAGUCUUACUUCAUCAUCUUUUACAAAACAAAGUUCCAGCACAAACAAAUAUUUUUGAAGGUUGUUUCACUUUUCAGAAGACCUUGGGCAAGACACAAGUUAUCUGUAGUGGCAGAAACCAGACGGAAGUUUUUUUGAGAUAUGUUAGAUAAACUCUCAGUAACAGGGUGAUUUUAGUAAAAAAUAUUGUGCAGACUCAGGAAUUUACAGGUGUAAAUGCAGUCAUUCACAGUAUGCAUAACAGUAUACACAAAUUUUAGAGCCUUGGUUAGUAGCUGGAUGGUAAGAAAGUUCUAAACCUACCACUGCAGUAGUGGUGGCUUAAAUCAGGAGGUACACUGAGUGAGCAAGGUGGAAAAAUUACUUGCCAUGCUUUUUUAGAUAACUCACAAGAAGUUAUUCUGACCAGGCUACUAGUUUUACAGUGCAUUUACUAAUAAUUUUACACAUUAAAAUACUUCCCUUAAUUUAAUUGUACUUGAUUUUUACAGUAAAGUGAGAAUUUUCAAUCACAAAUUUCAGAUUGUCUGUUUAGAAACCAGAUUAUUGUUAUAACAUAGAAGACCUCCAGCCACUGCAAGUGGACCUUCAGUGUGGAUGCAUGCAUUCAGUCCAGUUAUUCGCUGAUAAUACAGUUGUUUCAGACAUUAGAUACUGUUGAAAAGCAGUAUGAUACCUUUAGAAUAUCCCACCUCUUUUACUUCAGUGUAAAACUAUGGGAUCUAACUAAUGCACAAAACAUAAAACAUUUAAAGAAAAGGCAAUGAAAAACUUUUAUUUUCUUGUGAUCAUCUACUUUGAGAUCUUUUGGCUUUGCAGAGACCAGCUACAAAUCUGCUUGUAAAUUUUCAACGGGAUAAACACAAUUUUCGAUGGUGUAUCUUGACACUGAAAUGAGAUAGAACAACUGGUUCUGGAAGAAAAAAGAAGAAUUGAGACUGAGAAUCAUUGACCAGAGCAUACCAUUAAUGAUAAAAAUAGUAACAAAAAUAUAGCAGUGUAUCCUAAAUCCUAAUCCUGUAAUCCUAAAAAUAAAACCAAAAAAACACCACCA
Cyanistes caeruleus (blue tit) is the source of this 1676-nucleotide long non-coding RNA. The record is from Ensembl. NCBI's taxonomy places the organism in Eukaryota, Metazoa, Chordata, Aves, Passeriformes, Paridae.